GGGCCCGCACAAGCGGUGGAGCAUGUGGUUUAAUUCGAUGCAACGCGAAGAACCUUACCAGGCCUUGACAUCCUCGGAACUUUCUAGAGAUAGAUUGGUGCCUUCGGGAACCGAGUGACAGGUGCUGCAUGGCUGUCGUCAGCUCGUGUCGUGAGAUGUUGGGUUAAGUCCCGUAACGAGCGCAACCCUUGUCCUUAGUUGCCAUCAUUAAGUUGGGCACUCUGAAAGAACUGCCAGUGAUAAGCUGGAGGAAGGUGGGGAUGACGUCAAGUCCUCAUGGCCCUUACGUCCUGGGCCACACACGUGCUACAAUGGUUGGUACAGAGGGCAGCUACCUAGUGAUAGGAUGCA
Molecule: ribosomal RNA, 351 nt
Filed under: uncultured bacterium
Lineage: Bacteria
Description: bacterial SSU rRNA
Rfam family: Bacterial small subunit ribosomal RNA
Source: RNAcentral